CUAGAGUAUUAAUAGUUAUAUUCUUUAAACUUAAAAAAUUUGGCGGUAUUUUAGUCUAUUCAGAGGAACCUGUUUUGUAAUCGAUAAUCCACGUUGGACCUUACUUAAUUUUAUUGAUUAGUUUGUAUACCGUCGUUAUAGAAAAUUUUAUAAGAAUAAUAAUUUUCAAUAAAUUUAAUAAAAUUAUAUAUCAGAUCAAGGUGCAGCAUAUAAUUAAGUUAAUAAUGGGUUACAAUAAAAUUAUUUAUAUGGAAAUAAAUAUGAAAAAUUUAUUAAAAGUGGAUUUGAAAGUAAAAUUAUAAAGAUUAUUAAUUUGAUUUUAGCUCUAAAAUAUGUACAUAUCGCCCGUCACUCUUAUUUAUUAAGAUAAGAUAAGUCGUAA
This 382-nucleotide ribosomal RNA is filed under the name Anevrina macateei. Its description in RNAcentral is "partial 12S ribosomal RNA". Lineage: Eukaryota; Metazoa; Arthropoda; Insecta; Diptera; Phoridae. The record is from RNAcentral.